This 45-nucleotide non-coding RNA is filed under the name Echinostoma caproni. Lineage: Eukaryota; Metazoa; Platyhelminthes; Trematoda; Plagiorchiida; Echinostomatidae. The record is from RNAcentral.
GCAUUGCUGACGUGUUCAAGACAGGACGAAAUAGCUGUCCAAUAU